CGUGAGCUCCUCCAGGCCCGCGACGUCCGCAAGCAGCUUGGACUGCGGCCGCAUCAGGACGCCCUGCCCUCGGCCCCAGCAGAGUGGACAUCAGGCCUGGAGAGGCAGAAAUGGUCUUGCUGUGUAGUCCAGGCUAGCCUUGAUCUCACCAUGUGGCCUGGCCCUUGAAGCGAUCCUCCUGCCUCAGCCUCCUGUUGCUGGGAUUACAGGCUUGUGCUGCCACGCCCAGCACUGCUUGGAUUGCAGAAGCCGCACUUCCAGGGUUUCCCGUGCCCCUCAGCUGCCUCUGCAGAGCGGCUCGAACACCUGGCAGACUUAGUGGGGCUCAGAGGGCGUCCUCCCGCUGGUCAGGCUGCGACUUUCCUGCGUGGGCUUUGGCCCAGUGGGACGCGCUGUGGAGCUCAGCCUUGCCGGGCGAGCAGCGCUGGGAAGGGACUGGCACUUGGCUUGCUGCUGGGCCCCUGGAGACCGGGUGACUGACACCCAAGCCGCCUGCACGGCUGAGCGUCACCAGAUCCGCCCGGGUUGGCUGUCAGACACGGCCCGUGGGGUGGUGCGAAGUGCAGAGUCUGAGGAGACCUGAGGCUCGGUUUCAUGGCCUUGUCCCCGAGUGUCCUACUCAGGCCACCACACCACUCCUCCACCCACCAACACUUGCCCUUCGAGAAUCUUCUCCAUGAGCAGCAAGCAGAAGCACAAGAGGAGUGAAUCUAGCCUGGAGUGUGUGAAGUGUUUUGCGGUGAUCUGGAACCCAUAGGAGGUGGCCUGCCAGGAGACAGCAGCCGUCCCUGGCCUGCUCAGCCGCACGCAUGACGCCAGGGAAGGAAGCUUCUCCCGGUAGCUGGAACAUGGGUGCAUCAUCCUUGCCUCUUCCUGGAAGGGGGCAGGUGACUUGGUUAGGUUCUCGUGGAUGUGAAAAGAGUAAGACCAGAGGACAAGGGGUCUGGGAAGAGACGCGUGCCUGGUGUGAGCAGACGGCCCUCCGAAGUCAUUGCAACACGCCCACACCAGUCUGACUUCGGGGUUUUUUGGUACUGGGGAUCGAACUCGGGUCCUUGUGCUAGAACUUUGGUUUUAAGCCAGGUCGUCCUUGUGGUUUAUGCUCUGGAGGCCACCGGCCAGCACCAGCAAGUAGCCAGUGAGUUCAGGGGCCACAGUUCCUGUGCCACUGUGAUGCUCCGCUGGAGAGGACCAGGACCUGGGGUGGUCAGCGAGACACUGAGGAACGUGCCCUGAGGGGUCAGUGGCCGGAGAGCAAGGGGCCCGGAGUGGACGAGGAAGGGAUGGGCUCUCAGCAACACGGCAGCCUCUUACAAGCCGCGGGGAGGCGCGCUGGCCUCCGCCCCGAGUUUCUGCUCACACUCGCUCUGUGAGGCUGUGCUUAGAAGGCACUCUGAUCCGCUCAUUUCAGACGUACGCACACUGCCCACUGCACUGUGCCAGAGGCCUGCUUUUUACUAGUGAUUUUUAUUUUGCAACUCUCGAGAGAGCUAUCAUUCUUAUGCAAAUUUUCAGAGGAAAAUGUCCUCAAAAAUUAAUUAAGAUACUAUUAGGCAGUGACAGUUCCAUCCUAAUCGCCACCCACUUAAGCAGCAAUUAUAAGAUGCCAUUGAUUGAUUUCAGACGUGGUAAGUGGUGGGAAAUUUCUGAGACUGGUAAAAUAUGAUACAUACUUAUAUUUUAACUACUUUUUGAUUUCUUCUUUCUCCCUGUUAUUUUAUAUUGGGUGGUGGUAAUGAACUCAAGGUAAUCGCUGGGAAAUGAAGGGACAUCCAAUUACCUAGAACUUCUGAGCUUGAAGCCGAGGCAGUGACGGAGUGAUUUUGAUCUCUGAACAACCCGGAUGCUCCUUGCUGGUUGGGGUGCACCCACAGCAUAAGAGGCAGACGUGAGAGUUCACGUAGAUGAAGGGGAGUAUGUGCAGGUGUGGACUGGAGCCGUGUUUCGGUUUUGAUUUCUCGUUUCUGCUUGUGGAUCCCUCAGCACAUCACCCUCGCCGUGUGUCCGAGCUCGGUCUUCCCCUCAGAAGCCUGACGUCAGCGAGGCCCUUGCUCCAGUCCUCCGCAGCACGAGCCUGUGCUCCGGCUCAACAGUGGACUUGGAUAGGGAGCUAGUUUUGCAAAAAGAAGAGAGGGCGAGGAGCACUGCUACUCCUGGCUGUCUUAGCCACGCUGCCUGGCUUCCAAGGCUGGUGCUGCCAGCGGGGCCCCCUGCCCAGUGCACGAGGCACUGUGGACUCGGUCCCAGGUACGGCGGGAGCCAUGCCUCGCAGGAUACUCUGGGGCGAGUCUUGCUUGCGCUCCCAGCUGCACAGCCCUGGCCUGGUUGCUCUCCUUGCUGGUGUGUGAACAGGCCAGAGCCUUCCAAUCCUGGAGCAGCAGCUCGAGUUUCUGUGUUCACAGUGAGGCUUUCUGGCUGACCCAGACCUGCAUUGACUUAGGAGAUAUCCUUCCAAAAGAAAAUGUUCUAUUUGUCCAGCAGUAACACUGUUUACAGAGCUGCAAGCUUUACUCUUUGAUGAUAAGGAAAGUUGAGAAACACAGAUGUUUUUCACUGGCCAGUGGUACUGUCUGGGUCAGCCUCCAGCUAGCAUAAAUAAUCGAGGAGGAACACAAUGCUCUUUGAAAUAUGAAAAAUCUUUUAAGAAAUGUAUUAUUGAUGCUAUGAAAACCAAAGACGAGAUUCAGGAAUGGAAAAUAAAGAUGGUACCUGCCAUACAGGGUGUGGUGCUGUCCACUCUGGCCAACAGACAGACAAGACCUUACAGGGAAUGAACAGCUGGUCACUGGCGCGGCACUGCUCAUGGGUCGAAUGCAGUGCUUCCAGCUCUUUCCCCAAAUGGCCUGGUAGAGAACCCUGCUUCCCAUUCACCUCGCCUCAACACGGCUGCAGGGCUUCGCCCUCAGCAUUAAUCUGUGUGUAUUUGCUAGACCGGAUCGUAAACGAAUGCAGGGAAUCUAAAUGGCCCCACCUCCGACGUGGCCCGCUGUGCACUGGGCAUGGGUCUAGAUCCCGAGGGUGCCCAGGGCUGGCCCAGCAGCCAGCAGAGAAAUCCAGGUUGUGGUGGCUUCCAUAUGACAGUUCCGCCCCUGCCUGCCUGCAGCACUUUCCACCCCAGACGCCCGGUCAGCCUCCGUGCUUCCUCUGCUUCCUCUGCUCUGGCUGGGCCCCACCAUCUGCACCCCGAGUCUGGGCUGUGGUGGAGUCUUAGCAGACGUGGCGCGACUGCGGCGUGUUUUUCUGUGCAAGGUUCGCUCUGUUCACUUCUGAUGUCCAGUGUUGCUUUUUCCAGUCAUUGGCCUAAUGAGCCCUCACUUCCCGUGGACUAACUUCUGGGUGCUUCCAGGCGGCCCACGGGGACACCCUCCUGCCGGGAGAGACAUCUGUGCACUGUUCCUUUCAGCCCUGUGCUGCCCCUGGAUGAUUUUAGUGACGGUGUCACCUGCUGCCUGGGAGGGCAGAGCCGAUCCCCUGGUGUGUCCCACAGGAGGCAUUGGGCUUCUCCUUCUCACCUUUAUUUCGACAGAGACACACUGAAUCCCCAAAGUAAGUUUUGCUGAAGGUGGAAAUCUGAUAAGGUGGCAAUAAACACUGAGACUAGGAUCAUGAAACUGAGCCCUCUUAUACUCAGUCCGGCUUCCCCAUCUUCGCUUUCAACCCAUGGGGCGGCCUUUCCUCUCGCUCUGCUCUCGAGGUCUGUUUCUGCAAGUGCAGACCUCGGCGUCCUGGGACAGGAGCUGCACCCACUCCGACCCUCAGCGCUGGUCCCUGCUGCCCGAGGGCCUCCUCUCUCCAGACCUGGAUCUCGGUGUAGCCGUGAGUUACAGGGGAAGAGACGCCUCAGGGGCCCAUCCCAGCCCGGCCAGGCCUGUCUGAGGGAUUUGCCAGGCGCCAGGCCUUCUCCGAGUGCUGGUGAUAAAAAUUUAUCUCGUUCAGAAAAGAUCAUUCUUCGGCUAAGAAAAGCCAGAUCUUGCUUGCUCCGGGCAUGGCUGGACACAAGUGACGUCGUCCGAUCCUCUCUCAUUUGACAGAGCUUCCUGUUCCGUAUCCGUCUCCAUCUCUGCCCCUCCCUCUUUUUCUUCUUUUUUCUCCUUUAUUUCCCCUUCUACUGAGUCCAUCUGCAUGGAAAAUGCCUCACAUUUUGACAAAAAUGACCACCAGCAAUUUUGGAUUUAUGUUAAAUGACAGCAAUCUCAACUCAGAGAGGAAGAUGUGAUGUCUUCCCAAUGGUCCUAGGAAGGUCCCAAAGGACACUGGAUGAGCCUGGCUCCCCACCCGGCACUGAGGGUAGAGCAUGGGAUUGCCCAGGCCGGGUGACUCCCACCCCUGUGGACAUGGCUGUGGUACUGUGGGUGGCCUGACAGCUCUUGUGUUUGUGGAGCAACAAGUUCAAGGAGAGCAGGGUUGCAGGAAGGGCAGUGGUAGGAAGAGGUGAAGUGACCCAUGUUGGCCAGUGUCACUGAGGCAGGGCCCGCAGGAGCGAAGUGUCCUUCGCCACAUGACGGACGCCACGGGGAAUUUUAGUCAGAGGAGAGAUGUGAUCCUUUGUCCUCUCCUUCAAAGCCUGCCCUGGCCGGUGUGGGUGAGGCGUGGGGAGUCACAGAACACAAGAGGUGGAAGUCUCCAUUUCUAAGAACGAAUGGGUCUCUCCCUUGGCCCGCGUUCUGCUCGAGACUCAUGUGGGUGUCCACUGCGGCCUCACACAGGGCUCCUAGCAGCAGUGCUCAUACCAGCCAAGCACAGGAACAACUCGAACGCCCACCAGCUGCUGGCUGGAGACCAAGCUGUGUUCAUCCUCCAGCAACGCCUGUACAGCACAAGAGGGAAGACUCAGCAGUAACAAUGCUGGCGCCACACGAGGGUCACAUCAGCACAACAUGAAGGAGCCUGGGCGUGCAGGACCACAGCUGUGAGACCGACUCCAUCUGUGGCAUCCGGAGAGCGCAGAGCUGUGGGUGGAGACAGAAGGAAGCAGCGACCAAGAUAGCCAGGCC
This 4994-nucleotide long non-coding RNA is filed under the name Heterocephalus glaber (naked mole-rat). RNAcentral's name for it is "lncRNA (ENSHGLG00000038566.1)". Lineage: Eukaryota; Metazoa; Chordata; Mammalia; Rodentia; Bathyergidae. The record is from RNAcentral.